This 371-nucleotide ribosomal RNA is filed under the name uncultured organism. RNAcentral's name for it is "partial 16S ribosomal RNA". It matches the Rfam family "Bacterial small subunit ribosomal RNA", at positions 527 to 896 of the family's 1533-position model. The record is from RNAcentral.
GUAGGUGGCAAGCGUUGUCCGGAAUUAUUGGGCGUAAAGCGCGCGCAGGCGGUCCUUUAAGUCUGAUGUGAAAGCCCACGGCUCAACCGUGGAGGGUCAUUGGAAACUGAGGGACUUGAGUACAGAAGAGGAAAGCGGAAUUCCACGUGUAGCGGUGAAAUGCGUAGAGAUGUGGAGGAACACCAGUGGCGAAGGCGGCUUUCUGGUCUGUAACUGGCGCUGAGGCGCGAAAGCGUGGGGAGCAAACAGGAUUAGAUACCCUGGUAGUCCACGCCGUAAACGAUGAGUGCUAAGUGUUAGGGGGUUUCCGCCCCCCUUAGUGCUGCAGCUAACGCAUUAAGCACUCCGCCUGGGAUACGACCGCAAGGUUG